RNAcentral lists this ribosomal RNA (1065 nucleotides) under uncultured Ralstonia sp. RNAcentral's name for it is "bacterial SSU rRNA". It matches the Rfam family "Bacterial small subunit ribosomal RNA", at positions 72 to 1131 of the family's 1533-position model. Lineage: Bacteria; Pseudomonadati; Pseudomonadota; Betaproteobacteria; Burkholderiales; Burkholderiaceae. The record is from RNAcentral.
GAUCUAGCUUGCUAGAUUGAUGGCGAGUGGCGAACGGGUGAGUAAUACAUCGGAACGUGCCCUGUAGUGGGGGAUAACUAGUCGAAAGAUUAGCUAAUACCGCAUACGACCUGAGGGUGAAAGUGGGGGACCGCAAGGCCUCAUGCUAUAGGAGCGGCCGAUGUCUGAUUAGCUAGUUGGUGGGGUAAAGGCCCACCAAGGCGACGAUCAGUAGCUGGUCUGAGAGGACGAUCAGCCACGCUGGGACUGAGACACGGCCCAGACUCCUACGGGAGGCAGCAGUGGGGAAUUUUGGACAAUGGGGGCAACCCUGAUCCAGCAAUGCCGCGUGUGUGAAGAAGGCCUUCGGGUUGUAAAGCACUUUUGUCCGGAAAGAAAUCGCACUUACUAAUAUUAGGUGUGGAUGACGGUACCGGAAGAAUAAGGACCGGCUAACUACGUGCCAGCAGCCGCGGUAAUACGUAGGGUCCAAGCGUUAAUCGGAAUUACUGGGCGUAAAGCGUGCGCAGGCGGUUGUGCAAGACCGAUGUGAAAUCCCCGGGCUUAACCUGGGAAUUGCAUUGGUGACUGCACGGCUAGAGUGUGUCAGAGGGGGGUAGAAUUCCACGUGUAGCAGUGAAACGCGUAGAGAUGUGGAGGAAUACCGAUGGCGAAGGCAGCCCCCUGGGAUAACACUGACGCUCAUGCACGAAAGCGUGGGGAGCAAACAGGAUUAGAUACCCUGGUAGUCCACGCCCUAAACGAUGUCAACUAGUUGUUGGGGAUUCAUUUCCUUAGUAACGUAGCUAACGCGUGAAGUUGACCGCCUGGGGAGUACGGUCGCAAGAUUAAAACUCAAAGGAAUUGACGGGGACCCGCACAAGCGGUGGAUGAUGUGGAUUAAUUCGAUGCAACGCGAAAAACCUUACCUACCCUUGACAUGCCACUAACGAAGCAGAGAUGCAUUAGGUGCUCGAAAGAGAAAGUGGACACAGGUGCUGCAUGGCUGUCGUCAGCUCGUGUCGUGAGAUGUUGGGUUAAGUCCCGCAACGAGCGCAACCCUUGUCUCUAGUUGCUACGAAAGGG